ACGUCCAGUCUGGAUGUGUCUGGUCUCCAGUCACGGCACAGAGGCCGUUGUUAGAGGUUGUGUAGCGCUGUUCACAUCCUUCAUUAUCACUUUCCCUCUUUAGUAUACUUGCUUGAAGUCUCUUCAUCUUCUGUUCCUGUUGUCACUUUCAUCUUGUCAGGAUGGACGGUGAGCAGUUCAGAGCAGCGUCCAGGCAGAUGACUGAUUAUAUCGCAGACUAUCUCACCAACAUCAGAGAAAGGAGAGUGUUACCAGAAGUGGAACCUGGGUAUCUACGACCACUGUUGCCAGCACAAGCUCCUGACACCCCUGAUGAGUGGAGUGAUGUUAUGGCUGAUAUUGAGAGAGUCAUCAUGCCUGGGGUAU
Non-coding RNA from Cherax quadricarinatus, 366 nucleotides. The record is from RefSeq and is a predicted model, not a curated record. NCBI's taxonomy places the organism in Eukaryota, Metazoa, Arthropoda, Malacostraca, Decapoda, Parastacidae.